This 555-nucleotide long non-coding RNA is filed under the name Anas platyrhynchos platyrhynchos (common mallard). Its description in RNAcentral is "lncRNA (ENSAPLG00000026388.1)". The record is from RNAcentral. Lineage: Eukaryota; Metazoa; Chordata; Aves; Anseriformes; Anatidae.
CAAUACAGGGACCUCUCUGCCAUGCCCUACCGGCAGCAUAAACAUAUCCCUAGCCAGCUCCGGGUUCUGGUUACACCACAAUGGGUGGGCACCGAUCUAUCCCAGAGCACAAAAUUUUACUAGAGAAACUGCAAGGAAGAGGACAGACACUUGAGGAAUGCUGAGUUUUUUGUAAGGGUUUUGCGCACAGAGAAGACUCAGAACACAUCUUCUGUAGCACCAGUCUGGAGGUGAGGCUCAGACAAGCUCCUUGGAGCACAGAGUAUUUAAGGAAAUGAUGGAUGCAAAGAUUUUUGGAGAGCUGUUUAAUGUGGUCAGUAGGAAGAAAAAGGCACGGAAAUAGGUUCCUUGUUCUGCCCCAAAAUUCACCACCCUUACUCUGUUCCUGGAAUUAAGCUCCUAAACAAGUCAGGAAGGAGUCUGGCUGCUUUUAUUCAGAAAAACAAAGCACCCAGUCAGAGCAUGCAGGUGCUAGGUCCAAGAACAGCUGAGGACGUGUCUCCUGAGAUCAGCCUGAGCUGCAGGACAUCAGGCUCCCUGCAAGUCUCACUCAGU